Molecule: unclassified non-coding RNA, 1434 nt
Filed under: Portunus trituberculatus (swimming crab)
Lineage: Eukaryota; Metazoa; Arthropoda; Malacostraca; Decapoda; Portunidae
Description: monocarboxylate transporter 12-like, transcript variant X1
Source: RNAcentral
UCUCUCUCUAGGUGCAAAUGGGAUCUCGAUUACCACAAGCUGGGUCCAAUGACGGUAGUCACUGUUCGCUAAUGAAAACAUGCGGUAAAGGCAAAGACUACAGGACUACGGACGGCACACAGGUUGACGAUGUGGAGAGCUGCAUGGAGGAAAAAGGUCCUGACGGAGGGUGGGGAUGGGUGGUGGUCUUCGCCUGCUUCAUGCUCUGGAUCAUCAUUGGCUCCGUGCCUGCAAUCUUCGGCAUCCUGUUCUCUGGAUUCCUGACUGGGCUUCAGACAUCCUCUGUCGUCACCGCCUGGAUACAGAACCUGGGCAUGGUGUUAUCCGCCCUCUGCUGUUACUUGGUGGACCCCUUGGUGGAAGAGUUUGGGUGGCGGAAUCUGUCGUUAGCAAUGGGGGUCAUGAUGGCGGUGGGCAUGUCCCUCUCUGCCGCCGCCACCUCCGCCGUUGACUUGUUCUUCACUUACUCUGUGUUGUCUAGUAUCCCCGUGGAUGUCAUCAUGACGGUGACACACACCAUCGUGCCGCACUACUUCACGCGACGAAUGACACUUGCCUGCAGCCUCACCUCCUGCGGCUCAUCCUUCAGCCUCAUCAUUUGCCUCCCCUCCUGGCGGUACUCAUCGAACAAUACACCUUCAGAGGCGCCACACUUGUCACUGCCGCCCUCAUGGCCAAUACCUGCGUCGCCGCUAUGGUCUUCCACCCAGUCGAGUGGCACAGCAACAUUCGUCCAUCCAAGACUGUUGCCCAAAAGGUGGAGGAGGGUGGUGGGACCUGUUCACGAGUGUUUAAUUCUUUUGGAAGGAUGCUGAAGACCGCGAGAGGAAACCUUUGGCUCUUCAAGUCCAUGCGAGCGAUUCUAAUCAACAUAAUUCUUUCCAUAGGCAUGAUGGCAUUCAGUAACUUUUUAUAUCUGGUGCCCUUCGCAAUGGAGGCUCAGGGUUACAGCACAGAAGAGUCAAGUUUGACCAUGUCCGUGGUUGGCUUUUCUCUCCUGGUCACCCGCUUCACCUAUCCCAUCCUGUUCAUCCGCUUUGGUGUGAAGCACCAAAUCGGAGUCAUGAGCAGCUUGGCUGUAUGCGGCACGGCAGUAAUCGGUUGGAUACGUGACGUUACAGGCAGCUAUCCAGUGAGCUUGAGUGUGUUGGCUGGUACUUUAUACCUGGCCGCCGCUCUUUGGUUCAUCCUGCCACUCGCCCGCAACUAUGAUUUUAGUCACGAGGAUCAGACGAAAAUGUAUGAACAGCUUGAGGAUAUGAAAAACAAGGAAAAGGAGGAACAACAGAAUGACGAGAAACUGUUGCUGCUAAAAGAAAUACCUCGCAAAGAUGUUGAUUAAUUAACAUCACAAUAGUGUACUGUACAUACAUACAUAUGUGGAAUUCUCUCUCUCUCUCUCUCUCUCUCUCUCUCUCUCUCUCUCUCUCUCUC